CGCCUCUUGAAAAAAUAUAAGAGGUCCAGCCUGCCCAGUGACUAAGUUUAACGGCCGCGGUACCCUAACCGUGCGAAGGUAGCAUAAUCACUUGUUCUUUAAUUGGGGACUCGUAUCAACGGCAUCACGAAGGCUGCACUGUCUCCUUUCUCUAAUCAGUGAAACUGAUCUCCCCGUGAAGAAGCGGGGAUAAAAUUAUAAGACGAGAAGACCCCAUGGAGCUUCAAACUCAUCAUGCAACUCUGUCCUCCAUAUCCCUUAAUUCAAGAGAUGUGCAUGUUAGUUUUGGGUUGGGGGGACCUCGGAGUAUAACUUAACCUCCAAAACAAAUGGGUUAACACCUUUAUCCGCGAGAAACACCUCUAAGAAUUACUAAACUAAUGCUUUUUGAUCCGAUAAUCGAUCAAUGGACCAAGUUACCCUGGGGAUAACAGCGCAAUCUACUUCAAGAGUUCAUAUCGACAAGUGGGUUUACGACCUCGAUGUUGGAUCAGGGUAUCCUGGUGGUGCAACCGCUACUAAUGGUUCGUUUGUUCAACGAUUAAAACCCC
Molecule: ribosomal RNA, 551 nt
Filed under: Lithobates pipiens (northern leopard frog)
Lineage: Eukaryota; Metazoa; Chordata; Amphibia; Anura; Ranidae
Description: Rana pipiens (northern leopard frog) partial 16S ribosomal RNA
Rfam family: Bacterial large subunit ribosomal RNA
Source: RNAcentral